RNAcentral lists this ribosomal RNA (497 nucleotides) under uncultured bacterium. RNAcentral's name for it is "partial 16S ribosomal RNA". It matches the Rfam family "Bacterial small subunit ribosomal RNA", at positions 28 to 507 of the family's 1533-position model. The record is from RNAcentral.
GAUGAACGCUGGCGGCGUGCCUAAUACAUGCAAGUCGAGCGAACGGACGAGAAGCUUGCUUCUCUGAUGUUAGCGGCGGACGGGUGAGUAACACGUGGAUAACCUACCUAUAAGACUGGGAUAACUUCGGGAAACCGGAGCUAAUACCGGAUAAUAUUUUGAACCGCAUGGUUCAAAAGUGAAAGACGGUCUUGCUGUCACUUAUAGAUGGAUCCGCGCUGCAUUAGCUAGUUGGUAAGGUAACGGCUUACCAAGGCAACGAUGCAUAGCCGACCUGAGAGGGUGAUCGGCCACACUGGAACUGAGACACGGUCCAGACGCCUACGGGAGGCAGCAGUAAGGAAUCUUCCGCAAUGGGCGAAAGCCUGACGGAGCAACGCCGCGUGAGUGAUGAAGGUCUUCGGAUCGUAAAACUCUGUUAUGAGGGAAGAACAUAUGUGUAAGUAACUGUGCACAUCGUGACGGUACCUAAUCAGAAAGCCACGGCUAACUACGUG